Molecule: long non-coding RNA, 1816 nt
Organism: Hydra vulgaris (swiftwater hydra)
Lineage: Eukaryota; Metazoa; Cnidaria; Hydrozoa; Anthoathecata; Hydridae
Source: RefSeq, a predicted model, not a curated record
UUUUAUCUUAAUUGUUUUUUAUUUUGUUGUGUGUUUGUUUGCCUUCAAUUUGUACUUGAGUAUUUAGGAAUAAUUUUACUUGAGUAUUUAGGAAUAAUUUAACUUAUAAGUUUUUUGUAUUCUAAUGUUACUUCUUGCGCAACGUGUUUUAAUAAUUUUCUAAAAAGUAUAUCAGCGUAAUUUGUUUAAAAUGGAUCAAGUUAGGGUAUUUGGCUGAGCAGUAGUAUGUCCUCUCAAAUGUUGCAACAUAAGAAGGCUUUGACGCAGACGUAGAGGUGGGUUUUAUUUGCUUGUUUUGAGGAUGUUACCCCGACGGGAGUUUCUAGAAAUGAGCAUUAAAACAUUCGAAACGUCAAAUACCAGAGUAUUAUCUUUAUAAGGAUCAAUACAAUGUCCACUUCCUGACGAGAAUCUGGUAUUAUACUACAUAAUUUUGAAUUUUAUUUUAACGCUGAUGUAUUUUUAUUUUCUUUCUUUAAACAAUCAUGCGCGCGUUUCCACUUUAUAUUAAAUGUUUGUUUUUGUUGUUUGUUGUAAUACUUCUGCUUUAAAGUUGUACUUUUUAUCUAAAGAAUUGAGUAAUUGUGUUAUAUUAGGUUAAUUGUGUAUCACAUUAUGCUUACCACAACGAUAGCAAUUGUUAAUAGUUGUUUUGAUUUUUGUUAAAUGUUUUUGAAUGUUUAUCUGAUAAAUUCAGAUAGGUUUACUUAGAUAUUCUUUUGUUUUUAUCUGUGGCUGAAGGUAUUCGGGUUGCAUGUAAAUAAACAGAAUUAUUGUAUUUGUUGAUCUUUGAGUAUAUAAAUUAAAUUUAAAACGAAUAUUUUUAUUAUAAGGUUGCAUGCUUUUAAGGUAUUUUUGCACGUUUGCAUGCGUCUAAGGCAUUUACGUCUAAAUAUGUUCCACUAGUGACUAUACUCACUUAUUCUAGUUGCGAACCUGAUAUGUAAAGAGAACAUGAUAAGACUAGACUGAGCGAGACUAAGAACCAUUAUUUACGAACACACAGAUUCAAAGCAAUAAAAACACUAAAUGACACAUAAAACUUUAACGUUUAGAACAAUACAAACACAAAACACAAUAACUUACAGAACACUGCAACAACACGUACUUAAAUCUAACAUGACCACCACUUACUUAACUCAAACUUAAUUACUGAAUAGUACCCUUCUUUUAAACAACAACUCUUAAUUCUGGACAUCUGUCCAAAUAUUAUAAUUUAUCUUGCACUUCCUUGCACUUAUAUAAAAUAUUUCUUGCUUCUCUUAAGACUAUUACGGCCUGAUGGUUCCAUAUAAGUGGUGGAACUUUAAUAGCUUCCACUGCGAAACAAUAACAAAAUCACUACUUACUUUUUAUGCGUUCUGAUUGAUUUGUUUUAAAACAAUUUGUUGCAGCUUUUUUUUAAAUUACAUUUUUUUAUACAAUAACAGUCAAAAUAAGCGGUAAACAAGAAUGAAUUUAACAACAUUCAGAUCUCACCUUCAGAUCUUACCUUUAAUAUUUUUUCGAUUUUAGAUUAUUUUCCGUAAACCUGAUGGCGAAUAUGAACAUUAAAGGGAGUAAACGUAAAGGCAGAGAAAACAAAAUAUCGUUUGAAAACCUUAAGUUAAAGGACGUUAUGUUUGAAGCGUUACAAGACAGGUAUACCGUUAGUGAAAAAGAAUUAUUUAGAGUUGUCGGGAAUAAACUAAAGAAUGCACCAGGAAGAUUGAACCAUUCCAUUGAUAUCUAACAUUUAUAUUAUAUUAUAUGUAUAUAGUUUAUGUUAUAGUAUAUAGUUACUUUUUUUAAAUAAAUAAACAAUAAUAUUAUACAA